Molecule: unclassified non-coding RNA, 608 nt
Filed under: Hevea brasiliensis (rubber tree)
Lineage: Eukaryota; Viridiplantae; Streptophyta; Magnoliopsida; Malpighiales; Euphorbiaceae
Source: RNAcentral
CCCAGCAGGCUGUUGUAGUGAAUGCGUCACAUCAGCUACCUGCAUUGAAACAUCUAGCUAUUAGGUCAUCCAGAUUACAGCACUUAAAUUGAAGAAUAUAAAGCAUAUUAAUAAAAUAAUCCAAAACAACUAUCUGAAGCCUGUAAAUUAUGGAAUUUACUCAUUGACAAUUGGAAAUUGAGGUCUUUAUGGAUUUUCUAGUAUUGGGCAAUGUUGAAGUAAAUAAAGGAAAGGAGUUGUUUGCAUUAUCAUCUUACAGUAUAGCUAUCAUAGCUAAUUAUACAUCUCUGCUUUGAUUUACAAUGUGGAAAUCCUAGGGCAACCUACUAUGGCCCUAUUUGGAGUUGAGGUUGCGAAGGCAAAAAAAUGUUUUUUCGAAAAGCACUAUUUUAGAUGCUCUUAAAAAAAGUAAAGUUGUUUUGGAGUUAUUAUGACUAAAACAACUCAAAUUAAAUUUUAAACCAAUUUUUAAUAUCCUCUAACUAACAUAUUAAAAAAAUAUUUUUCAACAGCAGUUUCAACGCCAAUAAUAAACAGGUUCUAAGAUUUGUUAGUCACCAUAUAGUUCUAAACAAUUACUUUAACUCAUUUUCCAGGUAACUGCAGCA